Molecule: ribosomal RNA, 253 nt
Filed under: uncultured bacterium
Lineage: Bacteria
Description: partial 16S ribosomal RNA
Rfam family: Bacterial small subunit ribosomal RNA
Source: RNAcentral
GACAGAGGCCCCAAGCGUUAGGCGGAAUCACCGGGCUUAAAGCGUGUGUAGGCGGACGCCUAAGUGUCUUGUGAAAUCCCACGGCUCACCCGUGGAACUGCUGGGCAUACUGGGCGUCUUGGGCCAACUAGGGGCAGCCGGAACAAGCGGUGGAGCGGUGAAAUGCGUAGAUAUCGCUUGGAACGCCGAAGGUGAAAACAGGCUGCUGGGGUUGUGCCGACGCUGAGACACGAAAGCCAGGGGAGCAAACGGG